Molecule: long non-coding RNA, 2294 nt
Filed under: Nicotiana benthamiana
Lineage: Eukaryota; Viridiplantae; Streptophyta; Magnoliopsida; Solanales; Solanaceae
Description: long non-coding RNA (NBEN_LNC041622)
Source: RNAcentral
AAAACAAAGCAAAAAAGAGAGGGAAGAAAGUUAAAGAAAGAUGGCAGCAAGAAUGGCUACUACAUCAACUGUUGUAGGAUUGGUUAGUUCCUCUCUUUCAUCCCCAAGAAGGACAUCCCUCAACUCAGGUAAUUUAACUUUUUAUUUUCUUCUCUAAGAACUGCUGGAGUUACUAAUGCUCUUUUGUUUUUAUCCCUCAACUCAGGUAAUUUAACUUUUUAUUUUCUUCUCUAAGAACUACUGGAGUUACUAAUGCUCUUUUGUUUUUGUUUUUGUUUUUCAUUCACUGAGCCGAGGGUCGAUUGGAAACAGCCUCUCUGCCCUUUCGGGUAGGGAUAAGACUUGUCUACAUAUUACCCUCCCCAAACCCCAUUUUAUGGGACUAUACUGGAUAGUUAUUAUUAUUGUUGUUGUUAUUUUCUUCUCUAAGAAAAAAUAUUGGUUUUUUUAUUUCAUGGCAACUUUCCACAUUAUCAUAAUGGCUUUCUUUUCGGUAUUUACUUUCAAAAUAUUGUGCAUUUUCAAAAGGAUUUUUCAAUGAGUAAUACCAUCAGGAGGGGAUGUAGCUUCUCCGUUACGGUUCAACUGCACCUAUAGCCUUUGUCAGAAAGUACGAACUUAUUUGUAAAAACUUGCUAAAAUUCUAAUAACUAUUAGAUUUGAACUCAUAAUUUAUUUUAAUAAUAUAAUAAGUGCAACACUAAAAUCUUAAAAGCAGAUACCAUUAAAUUUAAAUCCUUUGCCUCUGAAUGCCACUCAGAGACUGAUCCAACCCUAUUGGCAGUGGCGGAUCCACUCAUAAAAAAUGGGUGCUCGAGCACCCAUUAACCUCGACGCAGAGUAUGUAUAGUUAUAUAAAAAAUUUGAGANNNNNNNNNNNNNNNNNNNNNNNNNNNNNNNNNNNNNNNNNNNNNNNNNNNNNNNNNNNNNNUUUGAGAAAAUGUAUAAAAAUUUACAAAAGCACCCAUUAAUUUUAUGUAUAAAAAAAAUUCAGCACCCACAAACUUGAAUUCCUAGAUCCGCCACUGCCUAUAGGUAGGAGUUUGGUAGAACCUGAUAGUUUUGAAUCAAACCCUAUAGAUAUGAGUUUGGUAGAACCUGAUAGUUUUGAUUCAAAUUCCACAUUUUGUGUUAAAUUUUUUGUUAAAUAUAUAUAAGUAAUAUACUUAAAAUUGAGUAAGUAAAAAAUACUAUGGUACAGAACCAAUAAAUUUAAAAUUCUAGCUCAAUUUAUGAUAUUGUUUGACUAAUUCACGUACAUUCAGUCACAUUCCCAUUUUUAAGUUAGUGAGUGCAAAAAAUAUUAAAUUCUCUAGUUUGACAAUAAGUAUGGAUUUAACAUUAAAGUCAUUUUAAAUUUUUUAAUUUUUGUUAUAUUAAUUCUUAAAUGUAUAUGCAUCUUUUGCCGAAUGGUACUACAUCCUAUAACUGUAGUAAUAGAGGAAAAUUUCUGGUUGACUAUUUAUUAUAGGAAUAAUAGUCAUUUUUAUUAGGUGGAUUAUUACAACAACAACAAUCCAGUAUAAUCCUAUUUAGUGGGGUUUGAGGAGGGUAAUGUGUACGCAGACCUUACCCCUACCCUAGGGUAAAGAGGUUGUUUCCAAAUAGACCCCCGGCAUACUUCCCUCCAAGAACUUCCCACCUUGCUCUUGGGGAGGCUCGAACUCACAACCUCUCAGUUGAAAGUGGGGGUUACUUACCAUAAGAGCAACACCUCUUGUCAAUAGGUGGAUUAUUGUAAUAAAUAUUAUUUUCACUUUUCCACUAAUUCCGUUUUUCUUCACAGGCUUCUUAAAAUCACCAGUGUCAGCAAGAAACCCUCUAAGGAUCGCCCAAGCUUCAGGAGGCAAAUUUACAUGGUAAAUUACCAGAUAAAGAUCUAUUUAAUUACAGUGGGGUUAUUUACACAGUCUUUAUAUUAUUUUUGAGUUUAAUUUUUAUAGUCAGUGUAUAAAACUUUUUACAUGAUUAAAUUAUCUAAGGUAGCUACUGAUUGAUGCUCGUAAUAAAUGGAGUUAGUAACACGUAUUGUAAAUUUGUAUUAACAUAAAAAUUCUGAAGGAGAGCAUUGGCAUAACUGAUCAGAGAUCACGGGUUUGAGUCGUGGAAAUAGCCUCUUGCAGAAAUAUAGGGUAAGUCUGCGAUCGAUAGACCCUUAUGGUCCGACCGCACAUACCAGAAGCUUCGUGUACCGGGCUAUUUUAAUAUAAAAACUUAUAUAAUAUCAGCUUAUGUAAGUUAGUUUUUUGUUUUAGUCAUAAUUCAUUUGUAAUUUUGUACUGUGUAAUUUGAAG